UACGUAGGUCCCGAGCGUUGUCCGGAUUUAUUGGGCGUAAAGCGAGCGCAGGUGGUUUAUUAAGUCUGGUGUAAAAGGCAGUGGCUCAACCAUUGUAUGCAUUGGAAACUGGUAGACUUGAGUGCAGGAGAGGAGAGUGGAAUUCCAUGUGUAGCGGUGAAGUGCGUAGAUAUAUGGAGGAACACCGGUGGCGAAAACGGCUCUCUGGCCUGUAACUGACACUGAGGCUCGAAAGCGUGGGGAGCAAACAGG
Molecule: ribosomal RNA, 252 nt
Filed under: uncultured bacterium
Lineage: Bacteria
Description: partial 16S ribosomal RNA
Rfam family: Bacterial small subunit ribosomal RNA
Source: RNAcentral